RNAcentral lists this ribosomal RNA (406 nucleotides) under uncultured bacterium. Its description in RNAcentral is "partial 16S ribosomal RNA". It matches the Rfam family "Bacterial small subunit ribosomal RNA", at positions 30 to 526 of the family's 1533-position model. The record is from RNAcentral.
AUUGAACGCUGGCGGCAGGCCUAACACAUGCAAGUCGGGCGAGUGGCGGACGGGUGAGUAAUGUAUGGGGAUCCGCCAGAUGGAGGGGGAAAACUACGGGAAACGGGAGAUAAUAACGCAUAACAUCAGAUGAACCCAUAUGGGAUUAUCUCGUAGGUGAGGUAACGGCUCACCUAGGCGAAGAUCCCUAGCUGGUCUGAGAGGAUGAUCAGCCACACUGGGACUGAGACACGGCCCAUACUCCUACGGGAGGCAGCAGUGGGGAAUAUUGCACAAUGGGCGCAAGCCUGAUGCAGCCAUGCCGCGUGUGUGAAGAAGGCCUUCGGGUUGUAAAGUACUUUCAGUCGGGAGGCGUUACCUACAGAAGAAGCACCGGCUAACUCCGUGCCAGCAGCCGCGGUAAUUC